AGUAAGUCACGUGUGUUUCCUAUUUUGCCCAAGAACAUAUUCCUUCUUCUCUAUUCUAUUUCACUAGACGACCUCUUUCUCCCUCCCAACCAUCUCCGAUGAACUGCUACCCUCCACCAUUGCUCUAGCCACCGACCACUCACCGCCUCCACCUCCACAAGAGUUAUCGCCUGUGCCGCCCUCCACCCCCCUCAAACUCGUCGACAUCAACAUCAGGAAGAUAAUCCACUUCCAAGAGCAAUCAACAGUUGAAAAGAUAUUGGGACUAUACUACAAUGAAUUCAAAUGAUAAUGGUGGAGUUGAAGAAGA
Molecule: long non-coding RNA, 310 nt
Organism: Lactuca sativa (garden lettuce)
Lineage: Eukaryota; Viridiplantae; Streptophyta; Magnoliopsida; Asterales; Asteraceae
Source: RefSeq, a predicted model, not a curated record